This 423-nucleotide ribosomal RNA is filed under the name Verrucomicrobiota bacterium. Its description in RNAcentral is "Verrucomicrobia bacterium partial 16S ribosomal RNA". It matches the Rfam family "Bacterial small subunit ribosomal RNA", at positions 355 to 776 of the family's 1533-position model. Lineage: Bacteria; Pseudomonadati; Verrucomicrobiota. The record is from RNAcentral.
UGAGGAAUAUUGGUCAAUGGGCGAGAGCCUGAACCAGCCAAGUAGCGUGCAGGAUGACGGCCCUCCGGGUUGUAAACUGCUUUUAGUUGGGAAUAAAACAGCGGACUUGUCCGCUCUUGUAUGUACCUUCAGAAAAAGGACCGGCUAAUUCCGUGCCAGCAGCCGCGGUAAUACGUAUGUCACGAGCGUUAUCCGGAUUUAUUGGGCGUAAAGCGCGUCUAGGUGGUUAUAUAAGUCUGAUGUGAAAAUGCAGGGCUCAACUCUGUAUUGCGUUGGAAACUGUAUAACUAGAGUACUGGAGAGGUAAGCGGAACUACAAGUGUAGAGGUGAAAUUCGUAGAUAUUUGUAGGAAUGCCGAUGGGGAAGCCAGCUUACUGGACAGAUACUGACGCUGAAGCGCGAAAGCGUGGGUAGCAAACAGG